This 253-nucleotide ribosomal RNA is filed under the name uncultured bacterium. RNAcentral describes it as "partial 16S ribosomal RNA". It matches the Rfam family "Bacterial small subunit ribosomal RNA", at positions 524 to 776 of the family's 1533-position model. The record is from RNAcentral.
UACGAAGGGGGCUAGCGUUGCUCGGAAUCACUGGGCUUAAAGGGCGCGUAGGCGGGCUGCCAAGUCCGUGGUGAAAUCCCCCGGCUCAACCGGGGAACGGCCUCGGAUACUGGCGGCCUGGAGGCGGGUAGGGGCAAGCGGAACUGUGGGUGGAGCGGUGAAAUGCGUUGAGAUCCACAGGAACUCCGGUGGCGAAGGCGGCUUGCUGGACCCGAUCUGACGCUGAGGCGCGAAAGCCAGGGGAGCGAACGGG